UGGGGAAUUUUGGACAAUGGGCGCAAGCCUGAUCCAGCCAUGCCGCGUGUGUGAAGAAGGCCUUCGGGUUGUAAAGCACUUUCGGACGGAACGAAAUCGCGCGCAUGAAUAAUGCGCGUGGAUGACGGUACCGUAAGAAGAAGCACCGGCUAACUACGUGCCAGCAGCCGCGGUAAUACGUAGGGUGCGAGCGUUAAUCGGAAUUACUGGGCGUAAAGUGUGCGCAGGUGGCUGAGCAAGUCGAGUGUGAAAUCCCCGGGCUUAACUUGGGAAUUGCGCUCGAAACUACUUGGCUCGAGUGUGGCAGAGGAAGGUGGAAUUCCAGGUGUAGCGGUGAAAUGCGUAGAGAUCUGGAGGAACACCGAUGGCGAAGGCAGCCUUCUGGGCCAACACUGACGCUCAUGCACGAAAGCGUGGGGAGCAAACAGGAUUAGAUACCCUGGUAGUCCACGCCUAAACGAUGAUGACUAGUUGUUGGGGGUAAG
RNAcentral lists this ribosomal RNA (485 nucleotides) under uncultured Pseudomonadota bacterium. RNAcentral's name for it is "bacterial SSU rRNA". It matches the Rfam family "Bacterial small subunit ribosomal RNA", at positions 355 to 833 of the family's 1533-position model. The record is from RNAcentral. Lineage: Bacteria; Pseudomonadati; Pseudomonadota.